UGGGGAAUUUUGGACAAUGGGGGCAACCCUGAUCCAGCAAUGCCGCGUGUGUGAAGAAGGCCUUCGGGUUGUAAAGCACUUUUGUCCGGAAAGAAAACGCCGUGGUUAAUACCCGUGGCGGAUGACGGUACCGGAAGAAUAAGCACCGGCUAACUACGUGCCAGCAGCCGCGGUAAUACGUAGGGUGCAAGCGUUAAUCGGAAUUACUGGGCGUAAAGCGUGCGCAGGCGGUCCGCUAAGACAGAUGUGAAAUCCCCGGGCUUAACCUGGGAACUGCAUUUGUGACUGGCGGGCUAGAGUAUGGCAGAGGGGGGUAGAAUUCCACGUGUAGCAGUGAAAUGCGUAGAGAUGUGGAGGAAUACCGAUGGCGAAGGCAGCCCCCUGGGCCAAUACUGACGCUCAUGCACGAAAGCGUGGGGAGCAAACAGGAUUAGAUACCCUGGUAGUCCACGCCCUAAACGAUGUCAACUAGUUGUCGGGUCUUCAUUGACUUGGUAACGUAGCUAACGCGUGAAGUUGACCGCCUGGGGAGUACGGUCGCAAGAUUAAAAACUCAAAUG
This 560-nucleotide ribosomal RNA is filed under the name uncultured bacterium. Its description in RNAcentral is "partial 16S ribosomal RNA". It matches the Rfam family "Bacterial small subunit ribosomal RNA", at positions 355 to 907 of the family's 1533-position model. The record is from RNAcentral.